GGCUGCAACUCGCCUACAUGAAGUUGGAAUCGCUAGUAAUCGCGAAUCAGAAUGUCGCGGUGAAUACGUUCCCGGGUCUUGUACACACCGCCCGUCACACCACGGGAGUUUACAACACCCGAAGUCAGUGGCCUAACCGUAAGGAGGGAGCUGCCUAAGGUGGGGUAGAUGAUUGGGGUGAAGUCGUAACAAGGUAAC
Molecule: ribosomal RNA, 198 nt
Filed under: uncultured bacterium
Lineage: Bacteria
Description: partial 16S ribosomal RNA
Rfam family: Bacterial small subunit ribosomal RNA
Source: RNAcentral